AUUGAACGCUGGCGGCAUGCUUUACACAUGCAAGUCGAACGGCAGCGCGGGCUUCGGCCUGGCGGCGAGUGGCGAACGGGUGAGUAAUGCAUCGGAACGCGCCCAGUAGUGGGGGAUAGCCCGGCGAAAGCCGGAUUAAUACCGCAUACGACCUGAGGGCGAAAGCGGGGGACCGAAAGGCCUCGCGCUAUUGGAGCGGCCGAUGUCGGAUUAGCUAGUUGGUGGGGUAAAGGCUUACCAAGGCGACGAUCCGUAGCUGGUCUGAGAGGACGACCAGCCACACUGGGACUGAGACACGGCCCAGACUCCUACGGGAGGCAGCAGUGGGGAAUUUUGGACAAUGGGGGCAACCCUGAUCCAGCCAUGCCGCGUGCGGGAAGAAGGCCUUCGGGUUGUAAACCGCUUUUGUUCGGGAAGAAAUCCUCUGGGCUAAUACCCCGGGGGGAUGACGGUACCGGAAGAAUAAGCACCGGCUAACUACGUG
This 484-nucleotide ribosomal RNA is filed under the name uncultured bacterium. Its description in RNAcentral is "partial 16S ribosomal RNA". It matches the Rfam family "Bacterial small subunit ribosomal RNA", at positions 28 to 507 of the family's 1533-position model. The record is from RNAcentral.